This 21-nucleotide non-coding RNA is filed under the name Caenorhabditis elegans. Lineage: Eukaryota; Metazoa; Nematoda; Chromadorea; Rhabditida; Rhabditidae. The record is from RNAcentral.
UAUAAUGGAGAUAAUACCCCU